Molecule: transfer RNA, 128 nt
Organism: Schizopora paradoxa
Lineage: Eukaryota; Fungi; Basidiomycota; Agaricomycetes; Hymenochaetales; Schizoporaceae
Rfam family: tRNA
About the family: Transfer RNA (tRNA) molecules are approximately 80 nucleotides in length. Their secondary structure includes four short double-helical elements and three loops (D, anti-codon, and T loops).
Source: Rfam
GGCCGCCUGGCGAAAUGGUAUCGCGUCUGACUACGAGGUGGAGAGUUGUGAGCGUCAGGCGUCCCUUGACGCUCACCAUUCUUCUUCGUGAAAUCAGGAGAUUGCAGGUUCGAGCCCUGCGGUGGUCA